GACGAACGCUGGCGGCGUGCCUAAUACAUGCCAGUAGAACGCUGAAGGAGGAGCUUGCUUCUCUGGAUGAGUUGCGAACGGGUGAGUAACGCGUAGGUAACCUGCCGGGUAGCGGGGGAUAACUAUUGGAAACGAUAGCUAAUACCGCAUAAGAGUAGAUGUUGCAUGACAUUUGCUUAAAAGGUGCAAUUGCAUCACUACCAGAUGGACCUGCGUUGUAUUAGCUAGUUGGUGGGGUAACGGCUCACCAAGGCGACGAUACAUAGCCGACCUGAGAGGGGGAUCGGCCACACUGGGACUGAGACACGGCCCAGACUCCUACGGGAGGCAGCAGUAGGGAAUCUUCGGCAAUGGACGGAAGUCUGACCGAGCAACGCCGCGUGAGUGAAGAAGGGUUUCGGAUCGUAAAGCUCUGUUGUAAGAGAAGAACGAGUGUGAGAGUGGAAAGUUCACACUGUGACGGUAUCUUACCAGAAAGGGACGGCUAACUACGUG
RNAcentral lists this ribosomal RNA (495 nucleotides) under uncultured bacterium. RNAcentral's name for it is "partial 16S ribosomal RNA". It matches the Rfam family "Bacterial small subunit ribosomal RNA", at positions 28 to 507 of the family's 1533-position model. The record is from RNAcentral.